AUUGAACGCUGGCGGCAUGCUUUACACAUGCAAGUCGAACGGCAGCACGGGCUUCGGCCUGGUGGCGAGUGGCGAACGGGUGAGUAAUGCGUCGGAACGUGCCGAGUAAUGGGGGAUAACGCAUCGAAAGGUGUGCUAAUACCGCAUACGCUCUGAGGAGGAAAGCGGGGGACCUUCGGGCCUCGCGUUAUUCGAGCGGCCGACGUCUGAUUAGCUAGUUGGUGGGGUAAAGGCUCACCAAGGCGACGAUCAGUAGCGGGUCGGAGAGGAUGAUCCGCCACACGGGGACUGAGACACGGCCCAGACGCCUACGGGAGGCAGAAGUGGGGAAUUUUGGACAAUGGGCGAAAGCCUGAUCCAGCCAUGCCGCGUGAGGGAAGAAGGCCUUCGGUUUGUAAAGCUCGUUUGUCCGGGAGGAAAUCCCGUAACCUAAUACGUUACGGGGAUGACAGUACUGGAAGAAUAAGCACCGGCUAACUACGUGCCAGCCGCCGCCGUAACAC
This 503-nucleotide ribosomal RNA is filed under the name uncultured bacterium. Its description in RNAcentral is "bacterial SSU rRNA". It matches the Rfam family "Bacterial small subunit ribosomal RNA", at positions 29 to 526 of the family's 1533-position model. The record is from RNAcentral.